Molecule: ribosomal RNA, 137 nt
Filed under: uncultured bacterium
Lineage: Bacteria
Description: partial 16S ribosomal RNA
Rfam family: Bacterial small subunit ribosomal RNA
Source: RNAcentral
UGGGGAAUAUUGCACAAUGGGGGGAACCCUGAUGCAGCGACGCCGCGUGAGCGAUGAAGUAUUUCGGUAUGUAAAGCUCUAUCAGCAGGGAAGAAAAUGACGGUACCUGACUAAGAAGCCCCGGCUAACUACGUGCC